This 205-nucleotide long non-coding RNA is filed under the name Prunus persica (peach). Its description in RNAcentral is "long non-coding RNA (PPER_LNC001046)". The record is from RNAcentral. Lineage: Eukaryota; Viridiplantae; Streptophyta; Magnoliopsida; Rosales; Rosaceae.
GGGUUUUGAGUGAAAUCUAAUGGCUAAAACUGUGCAAUACACCAACCACUCCAUUUCGUAAAGAACUUCAUACGGACCUGAAUUGCCCAAUUUCAUGGACCAAUCCAUAUCGGAUUGAGUCCAAAACUUGGAACAUCAUAAUAAGGUGGGAGGAGUCAUUUGGUGGGUUUUGAGUGAAAUCGUCUAGAACUAUGCAAUACACCAA